AGUGAACGCUGGCGGUAGGCCUAACACAUGCAAGUCGAACGGCAGCACAGUAAGCUCUUGCUCUUACGGGUGGCGAGUGGCGGACGGGUGAGGAGUACAUCGGCAUCUACUAUUUCGUGGGGGACAUCGUAGGGCAACUUACGCUACUACCGCAUACGACCUACGGGAGAAAGCAGGAGAUCUUCACACUUUUCCCGACUCAUUGAGCUGAUGUCGCACUAGCUAGUUGGCUAGGUAAAGGCCCACCAAGGCGACGAUCCGUAGCUGGUCUGAGAGGAUGAUCAGCCACACUGGAACUGAGACACGGUCCAGACUCCUACGGGAGGCAGCAGUGGGGAAUAUUGGACAAUGGGCGCAAGCCUGAUCCAGCCAUACCGCGUGAGUGAAGAAGGCCUUCGGGUUGUAAAGCCCUUUUGUUGGGAAAGAAAAGCAGCGGGUGAAAACCAGGCUGUCCUGACGGUACCUAAUGAAUAAGCACCGGCUAACUUCGUG
Molecule: ribosomal RNA, 492 nt
Filed under: uncultured bacterium
Lineage: Bacteria
Description: partial 16S ribosomal RNA
Rfam family: Bacterial small subunit ribosomal RNA
Source: RNAcentral